RNAcentral lists this long non-coding RNA (16078 nucleotides) under Nicotiana benthamiana. Its description in RNAcentral is "long non-coding RNA (NBEN_LNC033719)". Lineage: Eukaryota; Viridiplantae; Streptophyta; Magnoliopsida; Solanales; Solanaceae. The record is from RNAcentral.
UGGGGUUGCGAACGCCAACAGCUACCUAGAGACUCCUCGGAUUUUCCUGAACCUAGAAGGUUUAGCACUCGGGAGUUGGACCAGAUGCACCUGAAUCUGCACACAUGAUGCAAGGACUAAAGUGAGUACUCUAACUCAGUGAGUAACAAAUGUAAAUAAAGAGUGAAAGAAAAAAAUCACGUAAGACAUAAAACAUUCAAUAAUGAAGCAGUAAAACCAUUUAAGAAUAGUAAAUCUGUGAAAGAUAGGUAAAAAUCCUUUAACUCAAUUGUUAUUUCAUGAAACAUCCUUUUUCAACAAUUAAUCAAGUAAUUGACAAACAAUUAAGGAAUAUAAACACAUAGAGGUUCGCCCAUCGGGCACAAUAUCAAUAAAUCCACCUCUCAUGCAACAUCUCAUAACAAUACCAGCCCCCCGGGCUCAAUCUCAUAUCACAAUGGGUACCCGCACUUACUGGAGGUGUGCAGACUCAUGGAGGGGCUCCUUAAGGCUCAAGUGCAAUAUCAAGCCAUCUCAUGUCGUACAUAUCUCAGGCCCUCGGCCUCAAAUCAUGAUCAAUCUUUCCUCAUAGCAUAGGCCCUCAGCCUUACUCAGCAAAAAAUACUCGCAAGGGUAAUAAAAAAACAGUGAUUUUUAGCACAAUCAUAAUUUAAAAGAUCAUUUAUGUAUUAAAAUGGAAUAGGCAUGGCCGAGUAUGAACAGUGGAAAAAUAACAUGACUUAGUUCAAGUAUAAAGUCAAAACAAUGAGGAAAUAUCAAUAUGAAUCCCCGAAAAAGUCAAAAUAGUUAGCACGAGGCCCAAAUAUGGCAUUCAGCCCAAAGAAUGAUGAUAGCAAAUAGAUUUUAGUCAAAUACGCAGUAAAAUAGCCAUUCGGGACGGACCAAGUAAAAAUCCCUAUCAGUGCACGACCCCACAAUCGUCAUCAACUGGCUGUGUCACCUCCAUACAGCAUAACGAUGCGAAAUCAGGGGUCUCAAACACUCAGAACAACAUUUACAAUCAUUACUCACCUUGGAUCAGUCAAAUCUCUAACUCGCGAUUCCUUAGCCCCUCUAAUUGGCCUCCACUCGUGUCAAAUCUGUCCAAACCAUUACAAGGACGUCAAAAUAGGCUAUGGGAAGAAAGCCUAAGCAAAAACAAUCAAUAAAUGGCACAAAUCCCAAAAUUACUAAAACCUCGCCCUCGGUUCCACAUCUCGGAAUUAGAUAAUUUUUACAUAAGUAGAUUCCUUAUCUCCCCACGAGUACGUAUAUAUAAAAAGUUCUCAAAUCCGACCUCAAAUAGUCCUUUAAAUCCUUAAGUAAAGGUCUAAGUUUCGAAGCCCUAGUUUCCCCAAAUGUUAACUCUUGUUUUCCAUAAGUUAUAGCUCUAAUCCAUGAAUUAAUAGCAAAGGGACGAUUUUUAAGUCCAAAUUUCAUACCUCAAUGAAGUUCCCUUAAAUUUCCUCUUUCAAAUCGACCAAAAAGCUUCAAAGGCAAAGUAGAAAUGGUUAAAACAGCUCAAAAUCAUGAAAGCCACAACUUAUACUUUCUGCCCAUACAUUUUUGCUCUGCAGCCCAAAAUCCACUUCUAUGGUACCGCAUUUGAGUUUCCUCCUACGCUUCUGCGGAAAGUCGCUUAACUCCCCUUAAAUCUGCAUUUGCAGUCUCCUACUCACAUUUGCGAAAUCGCAGAUGCACUUGUCCUAAACUCUUCUAUGGUUGCUACUCUUUAAGGCCCAUUUUAGCUUCUGUGACUAACCGCCCGCACAUGCGGCAUCGCACCUGCAGUCCUCAAUCCGUAGGUGCGGAAAUGCCAAAAUCAGCAAAGUCCAACAGUUGCAAAAAAGUCCAAACUUCUCCAUCAACCAUCUGAAAUCAACCGGGGGACCUCCGCGAAAAGCACAAACAUAUCCCAAUACCUUAUUCAAAUUUGUUCCAAUCUUCAAAAUACCUCAAACAACAUCAAAUCAAUCAAAACACAUCAGAUUCAAGCCAACUUUCUAAAAUCUUCUGAAUUUUUCUUUUGAUAAAAAAUCCUACCAAACCACGUCUGAAUAAUCUUAAAUUUUGCACACACAACCCAAAUAACCCAACAGAACUACUGGAUUUCUAGAAAUUCCAUUUUGACCCUUAUAUCAAAAUCUCACAUACCAACCAAAAAUCACCAAAAUAUCAAUUUCACCAAUUCAAGCCUAAAUUUUCUUCGAACCUCCAAAACCCAGUGUGCUAACUCUAAGUAUCAAAUCACCUCGCGAAGCUAACUGGACCAUUGAAUCUCACAUCCGAGCCCUCUAACAAAAAAGGCAACAUCUAGUUGACUUUUCUAACAUAAACUCACUCCAAAGAGACUAGGUGUCUCAAACCUUACCAAAAUCAUUCUGGAUUCGAUCCCACGAACCCGAUAUCACAUAAUACAGAUCAAAAACAUGAAUAAGCAGAAAUGGAAAAAAUAGAGAGGUAACUCAUGAGAUGAAUGGCCGGGUCGUCAUAUCCUUCCCAAUUUAAACAUACGUUCGUCCUUGAACGAGUCAAGAAACAUACUUGAAGCCUUAAACAAGUGAGGAUAUUUGCCCUGAAUCUCCCUCUAGGUCUCCCAGGUAUCCUCCUCCAUGGGCCGACCUCUCCACUGCACUUUCACUGAAGUUAUAUCCUUUGACUUCAACAUCCGAACCUGACGACCCAAAAUAGCUACUGGCUCUAAACCAUAGGUCAAAUAAUCAUCCAAUUUAACUCAGUUGUAAUCUAGAACAUGAGACAAGUCCCCAAUAUACUUCCAGAGCAUAGAAACAUGAAUUACAGGAUGCACGCUCGACGAGCUGGGUAGAACAAUAAGCUCAUGGAACAAUAAGCUCAUAAGCCACCUCCCUAAUCCGCCGAAGUACCUCAAAAGGUCCAAUGAACCACGGACUCAGUUUCCCUCUAUUCCCAAAUUUUAGAACAACCUUUAUGGGCGAAACCUUCAACAGAACAUUCUCACCAACCACGUAGGACUCAUAUCGAACCUUCGUAUCAGCAUAACUCUUUUUCCUCGACUUCAUUGUACGAAGUCUCUCCUGAAUCACCUUCACCUUCUCCAAAGCAUCCUACAACAAGUCUGCCCAUAAUAAGCUAGCCUCACCGGGUCGAACUAAUCAACUGGAGAUCUACACCGCCUCCCAUACAAAGACUCAUAUGGAGCCAUCUAAAUACUCGACUAGUAGUUGUUGUCAUAAUCAAACUUUGCAAGUGGUAGAAACUGAUCCCAUGAUCCUCCGAAAUCAAUGACAUAAGCACGCAGCAUGUCCUCCAAUAUCUGAAUAGUGUGUUCAAACUGCCCGUCCAUCUGAGGGAUAAAAGAUGUUCUCAACUCAACUUGAGUACUCAACUCUCGCUGCACAAACCUCCAAUACUAAAAUGAUAUAAACUAGGACACCAUGCAAAUGAACAAUCUACCGAAUAUAGAUCUUUGCCAAAUGCUCUGAAGAAUAGGUAGUACACACAGGAAUAGAGUGCCCAGACUUGGUUAGCCAAUCCACAAUCACCCAAGUAGCAUCAAACUUUCUCAAAGUUAGUGGCAAUCUGACAACAAAGUCCAUAUUGAUCCUCUCCCACUUCCACUUGGGAAUAUCCAUCUGCUAAAGAAGGAUACCCGGUCUCUCAUACUCGUAUUUCAAUUGCUGACAAUUGAGAGACCAAGCUACAAAUCCCACAAUAUCCUUUUUUCAUUCUUCUCCAGCAAUAGUGUUGUGAUGAUUCAGCCAGUCGUCUUAAGAAUUUACACCAUGAUCCCCUAUUAUCUGCUUCCCCUGAGUUUGGUCUACUAUUUGGAUUUUUUAGGAUAUUCGAUUUUAUGUUUCGUAGAGUUUUGGGACACUUAGUGUCUAAAUGAGAGCUUAAGUGUUGUAAAGUUGAUCGUAGUUGAAACAAUGCAAAGACGGCAUUGGAAUGGAAAUCUGAUGUUUUUGUUAGCUCUGUGAGGUGAUUCCGGGCUUAGGGGCGUGUUCGGAUUGUGCUUUGGAGCUUCGUAGUUAAUUUAGGCUUGAAAUUUCGAAAGUUGAAUUUUUAAAGUUUUCGGUUUGAUAGUGAUAUUUUGAUCCGAGACACGUCAUGUAAUUUCGAGAGUUGUAGUAGUUCUUUUAUGUCACUUGGGAUGUGUGUGCAAAAUUUCAAGUGAUUCGAAGGUGGUUUAAUGUGGUUUUUUUAUCAAAAGCGUAAGUCGGAAGAUUUGGAAAACUUAGUCUUGAAUCAGAUGUGUUUUGGUUGAUUUGAUGUUUUUUGAGGUAUUUGAAGAUUGGCACAAGAUUGAAUAAGGUGGUAGGAAAUAUUGGUGCCUUUGGUUGAGGUCCCGGGGGCUUCAGGUGUAUUUCGGAUGCUCAACGGAUCAUUUUAAUUUGUAAAAAAGUUACAACAUUGCAGGUUCAGCUGCUACAGAUAAUUACUCUUCGCGGGGAGGUUAUUGAAAUUUUAACCUUUGCGUUUGUGAGGAAUGCUCCGCAUUCGCAAAGGGUUGGAUACCUGUAAACCGAGUCCACAAUUGGGAUUCGCGUUCUCAUAGGAGGAAAAUUUACUCAUCAUAUUCGCGAUAGUAUAAUUUACUCAUCACGUUCGCGAUGUGAGGAACGCGUUCGCGAAAGUUCGUUUGGGUAAACCAUCGCGUUCACGAGGGCCUUGUCGCGUUCGCAUUAUAGGUUAUUGGUCAAAGUACUUUUUGUGCUUUGCGAACACGAGGCUUUGACCGUGUUCGCGAAAAAGGAUUUAAAUGCUUGGGCAGAAUGUUUUAAAAGGUCUAUUUCGCAAAUUUUAGCCUAGAUUUCUCCACUAUUAGGUAUUUUGAAGCUUUUUGAAGAGGGUUGAAGAGGGAUUCAAGGGGAAUCACUUAGCGGUAACGUCUUUGACUUCAUAACUCAUUAUUAUAUGAUUAAAGACCUAAUUAGUGGUGCAAAAUUUUGGAGAAAUGGCUUAUUAGGGCUUGAGUUUAAGAGACCUAAAAAGGGGUAUUUGAGGGGAUAAUUAAACUCUGAUUUUAGUGUUCUUGUUAUGCAUAGACUCGUGAGAGUAUGAGGAUUUCGAAAAUGUAAAUUUUACCCGAUUUUGAGAUGUGGGCUUGAGUGGAAUUUUAGUCAUUUUACCUAAUUUCGCAUAUUAGCUUAGAAUUUAAUUGUGGCAUGAGUUACUUGAGGUGUUAUUUACAAUAUACAAUUGAAUUGAAUCGAUUUAGGCCAUUUGGAGCUGCAUACUCGUGGCAAAAGCAUGGUUUCGGGUUUACUUGCGCUUGUUCGAGGUAAGAAGUUUGUCUAAAUUUGUGGGNNNNNNNNNNNNNNNNNNNNNNNNNNNNNNNNNNNNNNNNNNNNNNNNNNNNNNNNNNNNNNNNNNNNNNNNNNNNNNNNNNNNNNNNNNNNNNNNNNNNNNNNNNNNNNNNNNNNNNNNNNNNNNNNNNNNNNNNNNNNNNNNNNNNNNNNNNNNNNNNNNNNNNNNNNNNNNNNNNNNNNNNNNNNNNNNNNNNNNNNNNNNNNNNNNNNNNNNNNNNNNNNNNNNNNNNNNNNNNNNNNNNNNNNNNNNNNNNNNNNNNNNNNNNNNNNNNNNNNNNNNNNNNNNNNNNNNNNNNNNNNNNNNNNNNNNNNNNNNNNNNNNNNNNNNNNNNNNNNNNNNNNNNNNNNNNNNNNNNNNNNNNNNNNNNNNNNNNNNNNNNNNNNNNNNNNNNNNNNNNNNNNNNNNNNNNNNNNNNNNNNNNNNNNNNNNNNNNNNNNNNNNNNNNNNNNNNNNNNNNNNNNNNNNNNNNNNNNNNNNNNNNNNNGGCUUUUUGCAUAGGAUUUGGUAUAUUUGAUACUUGAAAUGCCUUUUACGUAAGGUGACGAGUGCUUAUUUCUGCUAAUUAUUGGAAAUCUGAUUUUUCAUUAAGUACUACUAGUAUGUUUACUUUACUGUUUAAUUAUUGUACUAUUUAAGCAUGUGUUAGCUUAGUAAAAGAAUGCCUAAGUGAUUAAAUUGCUUUUUUGUUUAACUUCCUUACCUGAAGUCUGUGCAGUCUGCUAGGCUAGACUAUUUGUUUGCCUUAAUAUGAAAUUUGAUAGUUUCAGAAAGUUUCUCCAAUUGUUGUUGUUGCGUAUUUACAUUGGGACUACGGAUGUGGGGUCCGGUAUCUCCCCCUUGUCUGUUUACAUUUGGGACUAAGAAUGUGGGAAUCCGGUAGAUCCCCUGCACAGUGAUAUGGAGCUAUGGGAAUGCACCCAGUAGAUUCCCCUAAUACUGGGUAUUUAUGUUUGGGACUACGAAACGGGAUUCUAGUAGAUCCUCGUGUACUAUGAGUUAUAAUACAGGACGGUUUCCAUUUAGGACUUCAUGAUGGUAUCCUGGAAGAUCCCUAGUUGAUAUUAUUGGAGUUGAGAUGCAUUUUCCUUCGAUGUUUACAUUGUUUUUGUGUAAUUGUUCUUGUCCUUUAUAUCUGUGUUACUUUCACUAUUGUUAAUACUUGUACUGCUUUCUGUUCUAUACUGUCGAAUUAUAUCUUUUAUUUAAUCUCAGUAAGGCCCUGACCUUCCUCGUCACUACUCAACCAAGGUUAGGCUUGGCACUUACUGAGUACUGUUGUGGUGUACUCAUGCCCUUUCUGCGCAUGUUUUUCAUGUGCACAUCCAGGUACUUCCACUCAGUCUUAUCAUCCUUGAGGCGAGGCACUUUUUUAGAGACUUCAAGUUUAUGUGCAGAUCAAGGUACCUCCACUCAGGCUUACAAUUCUUAAGGGGAGGCGAUUCUACAGGACUUUGAGGUAUAUCUUCCGUGUCCGCAGACAGAUGAGUCUCUUUUUAUUCCUGCAUUUUGCAUUUAGCCCUUUUGUACUUCUUGUUCUUGUAGGACAUUCUGGAGAUUAGAGCUAUGUAGUAUUUUCAAAGCUUUUGGAUUUGUGAGUUUUCAGGUUUUAGGAUAGCGUAUAAGAUUUUUUGAAGUUGUGUGUAUAUGCCGAACGACAUUUAAAUAUUAUUUCCUUCAGUUAUUUUGGACUUUGGAUUAUUUAUUCCGCAAGUUUAGUUUAUUUUCCGCAUUUGUCAAGCUUAUCUAGUCGUAAAGACAUAGGAGUCAUAGAUUACAAGCCAGUUUAUUAGAGUCUCGCUAAUCGGUACAGAGACGUCUGUACUUAUCUACGAGAGGCUAUGUAACUAUUAGGAAAAUUCCACUUCAUUUGAUUUCCUGGUCAUGUGAGAUUUUUGAUAUCACAAUUCUAAACUUAUGUCUUUCUAUUCUCUCACAGAUGGUGAGGACAGAUGCUACGCGAGAUGAUCAGGCACUUGUGCCCCUUACUGCAGCUGUCUGAGGUCGGGGCCGAGGUAGAGGUCGAGGAAGCGCACGUGGUGUAGCCAGAGCACCUACACAAUCUACCACCAAGGAGCCACCGAUAGUGUCAGUUGGAGCACAGGCACCUGACACAUCUAGUGCUACUAUCACACCAAUACUUCAGAAGAAUCUAGCAUAGUUUAAGAGCAUGUACACUACUUUGGCUUCGGAGGGUUGCUUCACCAUGCUGGAGUCCCGGGCCAUCCCGAAGAUAGGGGACUGGCUUCAAAGGAUGAGUAGCGGAGACUUGAGAGGUUCAAGAAAUGUGAUCCUUCUGUAUUCAGUGGGUUAGCAUCAGAGAAUGACUUGUGAUUUCUAGAGGAGUGCUACCGUAUUCUUCGUACCAUGGAUAUAUUAGGAUUGAUUGAGGUUUUAUUCACUACUUUCUAGAUUCAAGGAGUUGCCUAUAAGUGGUGGCGCACCUAUGAGUUAGAUAGUCCGCACGAGGCUACAUCGCUGACUUGGACCUAGUUUUCAGAUCUAUUUCUAAGAGAGUUUGUUCCUUCGAGCCAUAGAGAUGCAUGGCAUGCUCAGUUUGAGCAUUUGCGCCAGAGUGCUAUGACUAUCUUAGAGUAUGUUGUCGCUUGUACUAGCUUGGCUAGGCCUGCACCAGACUUUGUUUCUACUAUUUGCGAGAGGGUUCACUGGUUUAUUGAGGCGCUUAUUCCCAAAAUCCUGUCUAGUAUGGCUCGUAAGUUGGGGAUGGAUACCCCUUAUCAGCAGCUGGAGGUUAUGCAUGCUAGGGAGAGAGAUGAUAGGGAGGUCAAGAGGUCUCGACAGUUGGGCCAUUAUUAUGCUGCUCGUACCCUAGCUGUAGGUCAUCAUGGUAGGGUUUAUAUAAGCCGCCAUGUUCAUUCAGCUCUUCCAGUAGCCAGUAGGUCUCGACAGUUGGGCCAUUAUUAUGCACCUCUAGUUUCUAGCACGCCUCCUAUGCGGGGUGUUUUCAGAGGUCAGUCUAGCAGACCUGGACCGAGUCAGUCACAGCCACCGCAUCCUCCCAGAGUUUAUUUUGAGUGUGGUAUCACAUGCCAUAUGGUGAGGGAUUGACCAAGACUUGAGAGGGUUCACCUUCACUGACUUCUAAGCCAUAAUGUUCCUCGCAGAGUUCUCAGGCCAUGGUUACAACUCCAGUUGUUACCCCACCUGCUCAACCAGUUGGAGGUGGAGUUUGGGGAGGAAGAGGUCACCUUAGAGGGGGAGGCCAGGGUGUAUACUAUGCCCUUUCUGCCCGUACCAAGGUUGUUGCCUCUGAUUCUGUCAUCACAAAUAUUAUACUGGUUUCAUAGAGAUGCAUUGGUUCAUUUCGAUCCAGGCUCCACUUAUUCUUUUAUGUCUUCUUAUUUUGCUCCGCAUUUGGGUGUAUCCCGAUAUUCUUGAGUUCCCCUUUUUAUGUUUCUACUCGUGCGAGAAAUUUUUUUAUUGUGGAUCGCGUUUAUCGGUUUUGUUUGGUUGCUCUUAGUGCUCAGCAUGGUAGACUUUGAUACUAUCUUAGGCAUGGACUGGUUGUCACCCCAUUAUUCUUUUCUUGAUUGUCACACUAAGACCAUGACGCUAGCUAUGAUAGGUAUGCCGCGUGUUGAGUUCUCGGGUGCUAUAGAUCACACUCCUAGUAGAGUUUUUUCUUUCCUUAAAGCUUAGUGUAUGGUUGAGAAGGGUGAAACGUGUAUCUAGCCUAUGUGAGAGUUGCCAGUAUUGGUACCCCUUCAGUUGAUUCUUUACUAGUAGUGCGAUACUUUUUCGAUGUGUUUCCAGCUGAUCUUCCAAGCAUGACGCCUGAUAGAGAUAUUGAUUUUGGUAUUGAUUUGUUGCCGGGCACUCAGCCCAUCUCCAUUCCUCCAUAUCGUAUAGCUCAUCCUGAGUUGAAGGAGUUGAAGGAUCAGUUGCAGGAAUUGCUUGAUAAGGGUUUUAUUAGACCCAGUGUAUCACCUUUGGGUGCUCCUAUCUUGUAUGUGAAGACAAAGGAUUGUUCUAUGCGUAUGUAUAUUGAUUAUCGCCAGUUGAACAAGGCUAGAAUGAAGAACUGUUAUCCUUUGCAUCGUAUUGAUGAUAUACUUGACCAAUAUUAGGGCGUACGAGUGUUUUCUAAGAUUGACUUGCGCUCAGGUUACCAUCAAUUGAAGAUUCAGGAGCCAGAUAUCCCAAAGACUACUUUCAGAACUCGGCAUGGUGACUAUUAGUUUCUUGUUAUGUCAUUUGGGUUGAUCAAUGCCCCAACAACCUUUAUGCAUUUGAUAGACAGUGUAUUCCGGCCAUAUCUUGACUCUUUUGCCAUUGUCUUUAUUGAUGACAUUCUGGUGUAUUCCCGGAGUCCGGAACAUCAUGAGCAGUACCUGAGGACAGUGCUUCAGACUCUAAGGGAAAAGAAGUUAUAUGCAAAGUUCUCAAAAUGUGAGUUUUAGUUGGAUUCCGUGGCAUUCUUAGGCAACGUAGUAUCGAGUAAAGGUAUUCGGGUGGAUCUGAAUAAGGUAGAAGCAGUGCAGAGUUGGCCCAAACCAUCCUCAGCUAUAGAGAUUUGUAGUUUUCUCGGUUUGGUGGGUUACUACCGUCACAUUGUGGAGGGGUUUUCAUUGAUUGCAGCCUCUAUAACUAGACUGAACUGGACGGGUGCUCCGUUCCAAUAGACAGAAGAGUGUGAGGCGAGGUUUCAGAAGCUUAAGAAGGCUUUCACUACAGCCCCAAUUUUUGUAUUCCCUACAGGUUUGGGGUCUUAUACGGUUUAUUGUAAGGCCUCGAGGGUUGGCCUCGGAGCGAUGUUGAUGCAGGACUGUAGGGUGAUUGCCAACGCAUCCAAACAGUUGAAGAUACAUGAGAAGAAUUACCUUGUCUAUGACCUUCAGUUAGCUGCCAUUGUUACGCCCCGAAGAUUUGGCGCCAUUAUCUAUUUGGUGUGCCUUGUGAGAUUUAUACUGACCAUCGGAGCUUGCAAAACCUGUUCAAGCAAAAGGAUCUAAAUUUGCGUUAGAGGAGGUGGUUAGAUUUACUGAAGAAAUAUGAUAUUACUAUUCUAUAUCACCCGGGUAAGGCCAAUGUAGUGGAAAAUGCUUUGGGUCGCCGGGAAGGAGUAUGGCUUAUCUACCAGCAUUAGAGAGGCCUAUGGCAAUUGAUGUUCAUGCCUUAGCCAUCCAGUUUAUGAGAUUGGAUCUUUUAGAGCCUAAUAGGGUAUAGCUACGUGGUUUCUCGGUCUUUCUUAUUUGAUUGUAUUAGGGAGCGGCAAUAUGAUAACUCUUAUUAGCUUCUCCUCAAGGACAAGGUUCAGCAUGGUGAUGCCAGAGAUAUUACCAUUGGCUAGGACGGAGAGUUGAGGAUGCAGGGUCGGGUUUGUGUACUCAAUGUUGACGAGCUUCGGGAGCGGAUUAUAGAGGAAGCCUACAAUUCAUAAUAUUCAAUCUAUCCGGGUGCUGCGAAGAUGUAACAAGAUUUGAGGCAGCACUAUUGCUGGAGGAGAAUGAAGAAAGAUAGAGUUAGGUUUGUAGCUCGGUGCCUUAACUGUCAGCAUGUGAAAUAAGAGCACCAGAGACCGGGUGGAUUGCUUCAGCAGAUAGAGAGUCCUGAGUAGAAGUGGGAGCGAAUCACCAUGUACUUUGUAGUUGGUCUCCCGUGGACAUUGAGAAAGUUUGACGCUUUUCUGGUGAUUGUGGAUCAGUUGACCAAGUCCGCUCAUUUACUACUUUUAUGUACUACUUGUUCUUCGAAGUGGUUGGUGGAGAUUUAUAUCCAGGAAAUUGCUCGUCUGGAUGGUAUUCCAGUCUUUAUCAUUUAGGAUAGAGGUACUCAGCUUACACCACGAUUUUGGAGGGCCGUUCAACUUGAGUUGGGUACUCGGUUAGAGUUGAGUACAAUAUUUCACUCUCAGAUAGACGGCCAGUCCGAGCGCACUAUUUAAAUUUUUGAGGAUAUGCUCCGUGCGUGUUUGAUCGAGUGUGGAGUGUCUUGGGAUCAGUUCUUACCAUUGGCGGAGUUUUCUUACUAACAACGUUUAUAAGUCAAACGUUCAGAUAGCACUGUAUGAGGCUUUGUAUGGUCGACGGUGUAGAUCCCUAGUGGAUUGGUUCGAGCCCGGUGAGGCUAGAUUACUCGGCACAGACUUAGUUUAGGAUGCUUUGAAGAAUGUUAAGGUGAUUAAGGAUAGACUCCAUACAGCCCAGUCCAGACAGAAGAGUUAUGUGGACCGAAAGGUUUGUGAUGUUUCCUAUAUGGUUAGAGAGCAGGUUCUGCUUCGAGUUUCUCCUAUGAAGGGCGUUAUGAGGUUUUUGAAGAAAGGGAAGUUGAGUCUGAGGUUUAUUAUCCCUUUUUAGAUAUUGAGGCGAGUUGGGAGUUUACUUAUGAGCUUGCCUUACCUCCCAACUUGGCAAGAGUUCAUCCGGUAUUUCAUGUUUCGAUGCUCUAUUGGUAUCAUGGUGAUAUGUCACACGCGUUGGAUUUAAGUUUAGUCCAGUUGGACAAGGAUCUAUCAUAUGUUUAGGAGCCAGUGGCAAUAUUGGGCCGGAAGGUUCGAGGAGGUGACCUGGGAGACCGAGAUGGAUAUGGGAAAUAUUGCAUUAGUGAAGGUUUAGUGGUGGGGUCAGCCGGUCUAGGAGGUGCCCUGAGAGACCGAGAUAGAUAUGGGCAGCCGUUAAACUCAUCUUUUCACUACUUCAGAUAUGUCCUUAUGCUCGUUCGAGGACGAACAAAUGUUUAAGUGUAGGAGGAUGUGAUGACCAGGCCGGUCAACUUAAGAAUUUAUGCCCCGAUCCCCUAUUAACUGCUUCCCCCAAGUUUAUUUCUGCUAUUUUGAUUUGUCGAGAUGUUUGGUUUUAAGUUUCAGAAGUGUUGGGACACUUAAUUCCUAAAUGAGAGGUUAAGUAUUAAAAAAUUGACCGUAGUUGGAACAGUGCAAAGAUAGCCUCGAAAUGGAAAUUCGAUUGUUCCGUUAGCUCCGUUAGGUUAUUUCGGACUCAAGGCGUGUCCAGAUUUUGUUUUGGAGGUCCGUAGCUAAUUUAGUCUUAAAAUGCUGAAAGUUGAAUAUUUGAAGUUUCUGGUUCGAUAGUGAUAUUUUGAUAUGUAUGUCGGAAUGGAAUUCCGAGAGUUGCAGUAGUUACGUUAUGUCAUUUAGGAUAUGUGUGUAAACUUUCAGGUCAUUCAGAGGUGGUUUGGUUGGAUUUUUUUAUCAAAAGCGUAAUUCAAAAGAUUUUGGAAAGCUUAGGCUUAAAUCCGAUGUGUGCUGGUUGAUAUGAUGUCGUUUGAGAUGUGUUGAAGAUUGGCACAAGUUUAAAUAAGGUCUUAGGAUAUGUUGGUGCCUAUGGUUAAGGUCCCGGGGGCCUUGGGUGUGUUUCGGAUACUCAACCGAUAUUUUUAAGUUGUAAAAAAGUUGUAGAAUUGCAAGUUCAGCUAUUGCAGAUAUUUACUCUUCACGUUCGCGAGUGGACCCUCGCAUUCCCGAAGCUUCAGUGCAGUUUAGUGAAAUAUUAGCCUUCGUGUUCGCGAGGAAGGCUCCGUGUUCGCGAAGGGCUGGAUACUUGUGAACUGUGUUCGCGAUUGGAAUUCGCGUUCGCGUAGGAGGAAAAUUGGCCUAGUAGAAUUUACUCAUCGCUUUCGUGAUGUGAGGAAUAUAUUUGCAAAGGUUCGUCUGGGUAAAGACAAACAACUAAUUUAGACAAAAACAUGUUUUUUUGUCUUUUUUUUAAAUGAUGAAACACGUAAACUCUUUUUGGAUUUUCUUUUCCCCUUUUUUGAUUUUUCUUAUUUUUCAGAAAAUGAUGGAAAAAUUGCAAAAUCUUUUUUUGAAUUUUUCAAGUUUUUUUCUUAACAAACAUGUGACAGAAAGCAUAAUUGGGCCCUACUUGCUUUAUUUUCACAUUUCACCCUCUCUUUUCUUCUUUUUAUUUAUUUUUUUUUCUAUUUUCCCUCAACUAUCAUUUAUCCAUCAAAUAACCAUUUUACCCUUGAAGAAAUUCAACAUGUAGCACAAAUGACACAUCAAGAUGGUCUGUUAUUUUGGGUACACCUAUCCUAGACGGACCCAACCUCUAUGUUGAUUCCCCAAAUUCAAAUAUAUGUGGCGCAAACAAACAUUCCUACUAGGGAUCCGGCAUGAGGUUAUUCUCUUCUAAGUUUAAACAUGGGGCUGUUGUGGUAGACUGAGUUUACCAUAGUGGACAAACUUGAGCUAAAGUGGGGUCAAUGUACCGGGAGCACUAAAGUUUGCACAGCAUUAUAGCUGGCCCAUGCCUUGUUCUAUUUAGUACAACUUCUACAGAAAAAGCGGGCCACGGGAAUGUGUGCACCAUAUUCAGAAGACUUAGAGAAAUGGCGUAAGAAGACAAGUAUAUACAAUUCAAACAAUAUCAAAAUGAUAAAUAGACAACAAUUAGCACAAACAUUUACAAAAUAAAGUAAUAUCAACAGUAAAUAAAGCCAAGUAAAAAUCACAUUAACAAGCUCGAAUUCUUAAACCCUGAACCAGAGAUUCUGGGUUGGUAUCCCUAGUAGAGUUUCGAGAGUUGUCACACAUCCUCUUUCUACCCCGAAAGGGUAUUAAGGGAGUUUUUUUCAAUUUAAGUGACAAUCGAAACGAGAUAUUUAUUUGUAAUCAAAGUCGCCACUUAGAAUAGUUUAUGGUGUCCCAAGUCUCUGGUCUAAAUCCCGAAUCGAGGAAGUUGACUCUUAUUUACAGUAUGCGAACACAAAAAUACGGGUAAGAAAUUCUGUUAACUUGGGAGAAGGUGUUAGGAAUUCCCGAGUUCUGUGGUUCUAACACGGUCACUUUGUUCAUACUUGGCUUAAUCAAAUUGUCUAAUUACUGAUAAACCUAUGUGCACUUGCCUUUUUAAUUGGGAAAUUAUCUUGAAACAAGUCACGCGUACGUGUACCUAAUUGUUUUGCGUGUCAAAAUUCAUGUCACGCGUAUGUGUCCACAAUUAAUAACGCUUUAUUAUUGUUAAAAAUGUUUGGCCGAAGUUGCACGAACAUAUGCCCCGAUUUUGUUUUUAAAAUCGUAAUUGUAUCACACGAACGUGUCUACAAUCAUGAUGAUAGAUUAAGCCUCCCAUAAAACAUUUUCUAUGACGUUCAUCAUUUUCCUAAAACUAAUCUGAGAUUAUUGUGAAAGUAAAAAAUUGACAGAUAUGGAGUUACUAGAAGUAAAGAUAUUUUAGCUAAUUAGAGUAGUGACAAACUAUCCACAUGUUAAAGGUGCUUGUAACUCACAUCUCUAUCUUUGAAAUUAUGAGGCAUUUAACUAUUAUGGAUGAGCAUGCCAAUCAUAAUCUACUUAUUGAAAUCACUGGGCCUGGAAAAUCAACUUCUUCGGCCUAUGUUCUCUUUGAUGACUGCAGGUUAAUUACUCUCACAUAAUUGAUGAUUGCAGGUUAAUUCUUGAAACUCCCUUUCAGUUUAAGAGAAGCCAACCGUGCGAUGUAGCUGACUAACUAGCGAAAGGAAUAGGAAAUUCAUAUAGUGAAUAAGCACUUAUAUCCCAAGAAACUUCAACAUGUCUUUACUCAAAAUCCAUUAUUUACCAAAACGAAGACGUCACCGUGCAUUCUACUUUUAUACAUCUAAGUCAGAAUUCAAACAGAGAUUCUAAAAGAACAGUAAAUUCAUGGAUCACAUGCUUCAAACCAGAAGAUAAAGCAGUGGUUUUCUACUGUAAGGACAAAACAUGAACAUAGACUCCUGACUUCCCUUAAAUCAAAAUAUAUGGUCAGCCAAAAACAAAAGCCCAUAUUCCCAUGACCAAUUAGAAAACUAGCAAUUAUUGCAAAAAUAGUCACUACAUCAAUGGAAAAGGGGACAACACAAAUGGCAUACAGUGUUCUUUCGGAAUGAACUAAUCACUUCAUAAAGCAUGCGAUGAGACUAGCGAAACAAAAAAUAACAGUAAUUUUAAAAUACAUGAAGCACAAUGUAAAUUAAUUAAGAGAUGAAUUCAAAUUGAACAAGGACCAUUAUUGUUGCAUAUUUUUUGCCAGGUACAAUGAAAUAAAAUCUUAAAAAAAUAGCAAAACAAAUAAACGAGCUAUAGAUCCGAACCUUGAACCGGCAAAACUCGAAUCACCUCUAUCUAAGGCAUACAAAUGGAGACCAGCCAGAUCUGAAACAGUGACUCCGAAUCUCGACGGCAAUCAAUGAAUCCGGAUCAACCUUUGCUCAUUUGAAUUCCAUCAUUUCGAAGUUUAAAUCAAAAAUCAUAAAUUAAAGAUGAAGACCCUUUUACGUAUGGUUCUGAAAUUUUUAAGAAGAGUUCUUCCCUUUUCUCUAUCUAUUACUAUUCUUCUCUGUCAUAGCAGUAAAAUGGAAAGGGGAAGAGGAUGAGAAAGAAGAGCAGUGGCAGUGUUUGAUUUUUUUGGCGAGUCCGGUGACGAGAAAGAGCGGCGACAGUAGGGAUCUGCAAGAAGAGGGGUGUCACAGCCGUCUAUGAUUUUUCCGUCUUGUGCAUGUGUUUGUAUUAGUGAGAGAAUUCAAGAGAGGAGGGCCGUGGGAAGGGCGAUGUGUGUUCUGCUGUGUUUUUGAGAGGAGGGGCCGUGGGAAGGUUGAAGAAGAAGCAGAAUGGUGUGGACUCUUCUAGAGUCAGCGACAUUGCAUAGAGGGCUUCGUCUAGGGUCUUAGGUCUUUCUUUUAUUCGCUGCUUCUUCUAGUUUGUGAAGAUGAUGUUGACGGGGGAGGGGGUGUGUAUAUAGUAGAAGAACGACGGAUUGUGUAUAGGUCCUGGGGUUUUAGAGUGUAGGUUAUUUUUAGACUACUUUUUGAUUAUACAGAGAGGGUUUUUUGGUUAAGGGGUAAGAAUUAGGUAUUACUGAGCCUCAAAAUU